Amphimedon queenslandica is the source of this 413-nucleotide long non-coding RNA. RefSeq lists it as uncharacterized. NCBI's taxonomy places the organism in Eukaryota, Metazoa, Porifera, Demospongiae, Haplosclerida, Niphatidae. The record is from RefSeq and is a predicted model, not a curated record. The transcript is spliced from 2 exons.
CUCGAUGCAAAGACCCGGGCCAAGCAGCCAGAGCCAAACUGAAUAACUUCGCUCUUUACUUGUCGUGCUCAAACUAUUCCUAGUUAUAGGCUGGCUUGAUUAACUUGAGUAUCUCUUGGUAUCUUGCUUUCUAAUAUACAAUUUACAGCUGCUUCAUAUUUGAUUCCAAAUUUACUCAUGAUUAAGGAGGCAAUUAUCUAAAAUCUUGACUUGAAAGCAUUAUAAUGCUACUUAUUUGUCUUACUUCAGGCCAAACAAUUUUCCUUCCAGUAUAACUCAAAAUUGGACCAGCUUUUUUAUUUAUAUCACUUUCUAGCUCCAUUAGGUAAAGUAUGAGUUCUUGUACCUAUAAUUUACAUGUAUGAAAUGUUUUAUGCAACAUUUUACCAUAUCAUCCUGUUGAAUCCAUGUAA